This 252-nucleotide ribosomal RNA is filed under the name uncultured bacterium. RNAcentral's name for it is "partial 16S ribosomal RNA". It matches the Rfam family "Bacterial small subunit ribosomal RNA", at positions 525 to 776 of the family's 1533-position model. The record is from RNAcentral.
ACGGAGGGUGCAAGCGUUGUUCGGAUUUAUUGGGCGUAAAGCGAGUGUAGGCGGUUUGACAAGUCGGGUGUGAAAGCCCAGGGCCCAACCCUGGAACUGCAUCCGAUACUGUCAGGCUAGAGUUCCGGAGAGGAUGGCGGAAUUCCCGGUGUAGGGGUGAAAUCCGUAGAUAUCGGGAGGAACACCAGUGGCGAAGGCGGCCAUCUGGACGGUGACUGACGCUGAGACUCGAAAGUGUGGGUAGCAAACAGG